Esox lucius (northern pike) is the source of this 1181-nucleotide long non-coding RNA. The record is from Ensembl. Lineage: Eukaryota; Metazoa; Chordata; Actinopteri; Esociformes; Esocidae.
AAUACAGUGUUGUUUACCUGUAUUUGUGUCUUACAGUAUUAUUUGGAUGUUUCUUCCAAUAUUAUAUGCCCCUUUUCAUUUAUUCGUAACUUUUAAACACCCUGGUGAGGUUUGUCAAUGUUGUCCUUUAAGUUACUAGCCUCAAAAUCCUGACGUACCAAGGUCCAAAUGGACCACAUAUAUUAGAACUUUGAAUUGGAACUUCCCACAAACACCUAUGAAAAACACAGCCUUUCUAACUGUGAUGCCCAGCUGUGAGUGUGUGAGUCUGGCUGGCCCUUCCUGUCUGAACAUUUCCAUGAUCUACAAACACAAAUACAGAAUUUUAACUGGCCCUGUUACAUUGCAGUCACAGCACUUUUGGUUCACAGGAAAUGUUUGAAUAAGUUGCUGUAUUUCUCUCUUUUUCUUGUUGAUGCUCUUCACAGACAGUACCCUGUUUAUAUGCUGUUUUCCAUCUGCCCCAAUGCCUUCACAGCAAAACCUAAUGUUUACAUUUUACAAAGAAACCCGAGGAUUUUACGUAAAUUUGUUUUAGUGAUGUGUUACAAAUUGCUAGUGUACCUGCCUUACCCUAUAUUGCACCACAUUAUCCUACAUCAUCCUGUGUCACACUACAUUACACUGUUUUACCCUGAAUUACACAUUAUUACACAACAUUACCUUACAUUUAACUAAGUUACUGCACAUUGAACUAUCCUACCUAACAUGUUCUGCAGCUUCAGCUUGACUAUUGACUGAUGGUUUAGGGAGUGUAGACCACUGGUAGGAGACACGUCCUGUAGUUGUCAGUGUAAUCAUUUCUAGGUAGAGGCCCAUCUCCACAUAGACCCAGUGUAAUCAUUUCUAGGUAGAGGCCCAUCUCCACAUAGACCCAGUGUAAUCAUUUCUAGGUAGAGGCCCAUCUCCACAUAGACCCAGUGUAAUAAUUUCUAGGUAAAGGCCCAUCUCCACAUAGACCCAGUGUAAUCAUUUCUAGGUAGAGACCCAUCUCCACAUAGACCCAGUGUAAUCAUUUCUAGGUAGAGACCCAUCUCCACAUAGACCCAGUGUAAUCAUUUCUAGGUAGAGGCCCAUCUCCACAUAGACCCAGUGUAAUAAUUUCUAGGUAGAGGCCCAUCUCCACAUAGACCAAGUGUAAUCAUUUCUAGGUAGAGACCCAUCUCCACAUAGACCCAGAG